GACGAACCACCCAAACGUUAUUCGGAAUUACUGGGCUUAAAGGGUGCGUAGGCGGUGUAGCAAGUCGGGUGUGAAAUCCCUCAGCUUAACUGAGGAAUUGCGCCCGAAACUGCUGCGCUCGAGGGAGACAGAGGUGAGCGGAACUGAUGGUGGAGCGGUGAAAUGCGUAGAUAUCAUCAGGAACACCGGUGGCGAAAGCGGCUCACUGGGUCUCUUCUGACGCUCAGGCACGAAAGCUAGGGGAGCAAACGGG
RNAcentral lists this ribosomal RNA (253 nucleotides) under uncultured bacterium. RNAcentral's name for it is "partial 16S ribosomal RNA". It matches the Rfam family "Bacterial small subunit ribosomal RNA", at positions 524 to 776 of the family's 1533-position model. The record is from RNAcentral.